UUGGAAAGCAUUUAUGUCAGUGGUGGUUAACCUUUUUGGGCUCCUGUGCCAAAAAUUGUACGCGCGCUUGCACACUCGCACUCGCGUGCUAGCACCCAGAA
Non-coding RNA from Pseudonaja textilis, 101 nucleotides. Lineage: Eukaryota; Metazoa; Chordata; Lepidosauria; Squamata; Elapidae. The record is from RefSeq and is a predicted model, not a curated record.